GGGCUGCGGUAAUUUGACCGUGCGAAGGUAGCAUAAUCAAUAGUCUCUUAAUUGGGGACUGGAAUGAACGACGUGACGAAAAGUAAGCUGUCUUUAAUAUAAAGAUUGAAUUUUACUUUCAAGUGAAAAGGCUUGACUGGAAUUAAGGGACGAUAAGACCCUAUAAAACUUAACAUCGUUAACUUGUUUUUUAAAUUUAAUGUGAAAAAGGUAACAGGUAACUGCUGUUUGGUUGGGGCGACUAAGAUAUAAUUAAAUAACUGUCUUUAGAUAAGAAUAAUGAUAAUUUGUUUUAUGAGCCUUUAUUAAGGAUUAAAAAAUUAAGUUACUUUAGGGAUAACAGCGUAAUUUUUUCUGAGAGUUCUUAUCGAAGAAAUUAGUUGCGACCUCGAUGUUGAAUUAAAAUUUCUUAUAAAUGUAGCAGUUUAAUAAGUAGGUCUGUUCGACCUUUAAAAUUU
RNAcentral lists this ribosomal RNA (458 nucleotides) under Hippolyte bifidirostris. Its description in RNAcentral is "partial 16S ribosomal RNA". It matches the Rfam family "Bacterial large subunit ribosomal RNA", at positions 1928 to 2596 of the family's 2925-position model. The record is from RNAcentral. Lineage: Eukaryota; Metazoa; Arthropoda; Malacostraca; Decapoda; Hippolytidae.